CUAAACUGAGGAAAGUCGACCGAUACUGAUCGGCUAGAGGGACGUAGAGGUAAGCGGAACUCUCGGAGUAGCGGUGAAAUGCGUAGAGACCGAGAGGUACCCCGAUGGUGAAGACAGCUUACUGGGCGUCUCCUGACGCUGAAGCGCUAAGGCCAGGGGAGCGAAGGGGAUUAGAUACCCCCGUAGUCCUGGCUUCAAACGAUGUGGGCUUGGUGUCGGCUCCCGAUAGAGAGUCGUUGCCGGAGCUAACGUGUUAAGCCCACCGCCUGGGGAUUACGUCCGCAAGGAUGAAACUCAAGGGAAUUGACGGGGGCCCACACAACCGGUGGAGCACGUGGUUUAAUUCGAUGAUAAGCGAAGAACCUUACCAGGGCUUGACCUAGCGGUAGUAGAACCCUGAAAGGGGAACGAACCGAAGCUUUGCUUCGGGAGCC
Molecule: ribosomal RNA, 434 nt
Filed under: uncultured bacterium
Lineage: Bacteria
Description: bacterial SSU rRNA
Rfam family: Bacterial small subunit ribosomal RNA
Source: RNAcentral